AUAAAUUCUAGAUAAUAAAGCAGCUUGUGAGACAAUGAUUUCCCAUAUCCCUGAGGGAAGAGACUGUGCUAUUCAUCUUUGCAUCUCCCAUAACAUCUAACACAAAGCACAGUACAUUGGAGAAUAAAGAGUAAGACUCUGAAGGAAUAAAAUGGAAACAAGUGAAUGUUGAUGGAAGCGUGGAAAGGAUGGGAAAGACCAGUGAGAGGAGUCAGACCGAGGAGAGAAGUCUGAGCACCAUGAGAAGACUCAAGAUUAAGGAACCCAAGGAACGAAAGGGAGCCUCCCAAAGACUCAGGCUUUGAUUACAUGCCGUCUCCUACAAUAUGUUGUCAUUUCCUGUUCGAUUAUCUGUCUCCCUAAUUAAAAUGUAAGCACCUUGCUUACAAGAAAA
Molecule: long non-coding RNA, 394 nt
Filed under: Equus asinus (donkey)
Lineage: Eukaryota; Metazoa; Chordata; Mammalia; Perissodactyla; Equidae
Description: lncRNA (ENSEASG00005032650.1)
Source: RNAcentral